AUUGAACGCUAGCGGGAUGCCUUACACAUGCAAGUCGAACGGAGUGGCGAACGGGUGAGUAAUGUAUCGGAACGUGCCCAGUAGCGGGGGAUAACUACGCGAAAGCGUAGCUAAUACCGCAUACUAUUGGAGCGGCCGAUAUCGGAUUCGCUAGUUGGGGGGGUAACGGCUCACCAAGGCGACGAUCCGUAGCUGGGUUGAGAGGACGACCAGCCACACUGGGACUGAGACACGGCCCAGACUCCGACGGGAGGCAGCAGGGGGGAAUUUUGGACAAUGGGGGAAACCCUGAUCCAGCCAGCCCGCGUGUGCGAUGAAGGCCUUCGGGUUGUAAAGUUCUUUCGGUAGCGAGGCGUUAACUACAGAAGAAGCACCGGCUAACUCCGUGCCAGCCGCCGCGGUAAUAC
This 407-nucleotide ribosomal RNA is filed under the name uncultured bacterium. RNAcentral describes it as "partial 16S ribosomal RNA". It matches the Rfam family "Bacterial small subunit ribosomal RNA", at positions 30 to 526 of the family's 1533-position model. The record is from RNAcentral.